ACGAACGCUGGCGGCGUGCUUAACCCACGCAAGUCGAACGGAAAGGCCCUGCUUUUGUGGGGUGCUCGAGUGGCGAACGGGUGAGUAACACGUGAGUAACCUGCCCUUGACUUUGGGAUAACUUCAGGAAACUGGGGCUAAUACCGGAUAGGAGCUCCUGCUGCAUGGUGGGGGUUGGAAAGUUUCGGCGGUUGGGGAUGGACUCGCGGCUUAUCAGCUUGUUGGUGGGGUAGUGGCUUACCAAGGCUUUGACGGGUAGCCGGCCUGAGAGGGUGACCGGCCACAUUGGGACUGCGAUACGGCCCAGACUCCUACGGGAGGCAGCAGUGGGGAAUAUUGCACAAUGGGCGGAAGCCUGAUGCAGCAACGCCGCGUGCGGGAUGACGGCCUUCGGGUUGUAAACCGCUUUCGCCUGUGACGAAGCGUGAGUGACGGUAAUGGGUAAAGAAGCACCGGCUAACUACGUG
RNAcentral lists this ribosomal RNA (467 nucleotides) under uncultured bacterium. Its description in RNAcentral is "partial 16S ribosomal RNA". It matches the Rfam family "Bacterial small subunit ribosomal RNA", at positions 29 to 507 of the family's 1533-position model. The record is from RNAcentral.